UAAUACGUAGGGUGCAAGCGUUAAUCGGAAUUACUGGGCGUAAAGCGUGCGCAGGCGGUUAUGUAAGACAGAGGUGAAAUCCCCGGGCUCAACCUGGGAACUGCCUUUGUGACUGCAUAGCUGGAGUGCGGCAGAGGGGGAUGGAAUUCCGCGUGUAGCAGUGAAAUGCGUAGAUAUGCGGAGGAACACCGAUGGCGAAGGCAAUCCCCUGGGCCUGCACUGACGCUCAUGCACGAAAGCGUGGGGAGCAAACAGG
Molecule: ribosomal RNA, 256 nt
Filed under: uncultured bacterium
Lineage: Bacteria
Description: partial 16S ribosomal RNA
Rfam family: Bacterial small subunit ribosomal RNA
Source: RNAcentral